Pygocentrus nattereri (red-bellied piranha) is the source of this 284-nucleotide long non-coding RNA. RefSeq lists it as uncharacterized. Lineage: Eukaryota; Metazoa; Chordata; Actinopteri; Characiformes; Serrasalmidae. The transcript has 3 exons. The record is from RefSeq and is a predicted model, not a curated record.
AGCUGCAGUACACAAGGACUCACAUUCUCCUUUUCUGCUUGAGUCUACGGAAAUAUAUGCCUGCAUCCUCUCACUCUCCAGGAUUUUGUUAAACAACCUGGUUAAAAAGUCCACUGCCUGCUCUCCUAAGCAUCUCCAAACCUCCACAGGCUGGAGUGUGGAGCAUGAUUGUGAAGAUGCAGUCCUCUGAUGAUGAAGACAUUCUGUAGCACAAGUUCCACCAUGCUGAGCAGUGAAUAGGACAGGUCCAGGUUACUCACAAUAUCGCUGGAGCCUAAGGCCAG